AAUCAUGCAAGUCGAGCGGACAGAUGGGAGCUUGCUCCCUGAUGUUAGCGGCGGACGGGUGAGUAACACGUGGGUAACCUGCCUGUAAGACUGGGAUAACUCCGGGAAACCGGGGCUAAUACCGGAUGGUUGUUUGAACCGCAUGGUUCAGACAUAAAAGGUGGCUUCGGCUACCACUUACAGAUGGACCCGCGGCGCAUUAGCUAGUUGGUGAGGUAACGGCUCACCAAGGCGACGAUGCGUAGCCGACCUGAGAGGGUGAUCGGCCACACUGGGACUGAGACACGGCCCAGACUCCUACGGGAGGCAGCAGUAGGGAAUCUUCCGCAAUGGACGAAAGUCUGACGGAGCAACGCCGCGUGAGUGAUGAAGGUUUUCGGAUCGUAAAGCUCUGUUGUUAGGGAAGAACAAGUGCCGUUCAAAUAGGGCGGCACCUUGACGGUACCUAACCAGAAAGCCACGGCUAACUACGUGCCAGCAGCCGCGGUAAUACGUAGGUGGCAAGCGUUGUCCGGAAUUAUUGGGCGUAAAGGGCUCGCAGGCGGUUUCUUAAGUCUGAUGUGAAAGCCCCCGGCUCAACCGGGGAGGGUCAUUGGAAACUGGGGAACUUGAGUGCAGAAGAGGAGAGUGGAAUUCCACGUGUAGCGGUGAAAUGCGUAGAGAUGUGGAGGAACACCAGUGGCGAAGGCGACUCUCUGGUCUGUAACUGACGCUGAGGAGCGAAAGCGUGGGGAGCGAACAGGAUUAGAUACCCUGGGUA
Molecule: ribosomal RNA, 760 nt
Filed under: Bacillus amyloliquefaciens
Lineage: Bacteria; Bacillati; Bacillota; Bacilli; Caryophanales; Bacillaceae
Description: bacterial SSU rRNA
Rfam family: Bacterial small subunit ribosomal RNA
Source: RNAcentral